RNAcentral lists this unclassified non-coding RNA (303 nucleotides) under Bombus terrestris (buff-tailed bumblebee). RNAcentral's name for it is "misc RNA ENSBTSG00005028625.1". The record is from RNAcentral. Lineage: Eukaryota; Metazoa; Arthropoda; Insecta; Hymenoptera; Apidae.
CUAGCUUGUCAAAUAUCUCUUGAAAAUGUGAAACUAAAUUCUCAGGCUUCGUGUCGAUAGAAUGGAUUUUAGGAGUCAUGUUGAGUAAAUAUUUUGUGUUCCCCUUAAGAAAUACUACAUAUAGCAAGUGACUGAGAAUGUCAAGUGUUACAAAUGCUACAAGGGACUGAGUACUUGAGAUUACGACGAGAAAAAAGGGUGUAGGGUCAUCCAAGGUUUUGGGCAGACGUGACUGAAUUUGUCACGGGAAUGUCUGCGUAGUUUGUCUGGAUUGAGUGUAAACGACAGAGUAUAAAGUAGAGG